This 406-nucleotide ribosomal RNA is filed under the name uncultured bacterium. RNAcentral's name for it is "partial 16S ribosomal RNA". It matches the Rfam family "Bacterial small subunit ribosomal RNA", at positions 30 to 526 of the family's 1533-position model. The record is from RNAcentral.
AUUGAACGCUGGCGGCAGGCCUAACACAUGCAAGUCGAACGAGUGGCGGACGGGUGAGUAAUGUCUGGGAAACUGCCCGAUGGAGGGGGGUAACUACUGGAAACGGUAGCUAAUACCGCAUACCAUCGGAUGUGCCCAGGUGGGAUUAGCUAGUAGGGGGGGUAACGGCUCACCUGGGCGACGAUCCCUAGCUGGUCUGAGAGGAUGACCAGCCACACUGGAACGAAGACACGUUCCAGACGCCUACGGGAGGAAGCAGUGGGGAAUAUUGCACAAUGGGCGCAAGCCUGAUGCAGCCAUGCGGCGUGUAUGAAGAAGGCCUUCGGGUUGUAAAGUACUUUCAGCGGGGAGGCGUUACUCGCAGAAGAAGCACCGGCUAACUCCGUGCCAGCAGCCGCGGUAAUAC